UACAGAGGUCUCAAGCGUUGUUCGGAUUCAUUGGGCGUAAAGGGUGCGUAGGCGGCGCGGUAAGUCGGGUGUGAAAUCUUGGAGCUUAACUCCGAAACUGCAUUCGAUACUGCCGUGCUUGAGGACUGGAGAGGAGACUGGAAUUUACGGUGUAGCGGUGAAAUGCGUAGAUAUCGUAAGGAAGACCAGUGGCGAAGGCGGGUCUCUGGGCCGAUAUUGACGCUGAGGAGCGAAAGCGUGGGGAGCGAACAGG
Molecule: ribosomal RNA, 253 nt
Filed under: uncultured bacterium
Lineage: Bacteria
Description: partial 16S ribosomal RNA
Rfam family: Bacterial small subunit ribosomal RNA
Source: RNAcentral